This 253-nucleotide ribosomal RNA is filed under the name uncultured bacterium. RNAcentral's name for it is "partial 16S ribosomal RNA". It matches the Rfam family "Bacterial small subunit ribosomal RNA", at positions 524 to 776 of the family's 1533-position model. The record is from RNAcentral.
UACGGGGGGGGCAAGCGUUGUUCGGAAUUACUGGGCGUAAAGGGCUCGUAGGCGGCCAACUAAGUCAGACGUGAAAUCCCUCGGCUUAACCGGGGAACUGCGUCUGAUACUGGAUGGCUUGAGUUUGGGAGAGGGAUGCGGAAUUCCAGGUGUAGCGGUGAAAUGCGCAGAUAUCAGGAGGAACACCGGUGGCGAAGGCGGAUCUCUGGGCCUGUUCUGACGCUGAGGCGCGAAAGCUAGGGGAGCGAACAGG